GUGCUGAGUACGAUUGACGUCCUGAAUUCCACCCGAACAAGACAAUAGUAUACUUCUCAGUUUCUAAAUUAAAUUCAUUUAUAUAGUAUACUUCUCAGCUUCAAGGCAGAGGAUAUUUAUAUCUUCAUCCUUCUCAUGUUUUCUCUAAAGUAUGUUUUUCUAUUGUGUAAUGAUGUAUGUUGUCAUGUGCAACUAAACCUCUUUGGUUAGGGUUCUAAGAUUAACCCGGCCUUCUUAUUUGUUGGACUCUAUUAACAACAUUUCUUAUUCAGUUUAUGAUCUAAAGUCCAAUUUAGUUUGUAUAUGUCUGUUUCUAGAUGUCACUUUGAAAAGCAUUUGCAUUUGUGGGCUUUCAUGUAAUUUUGCUCAAAAUAGUGCAUUCUCUAUUCUCAAUAGAGCAGAAACAUUUUUUGUGUGGGACAACAGUACCUUUCCUCCCUUUUUUUUAAGUUGGUUCCAAAGUAGGGA
This 468-nucleotide long non-coding RNA is filed under the name Medicago truncatula (barrel medic). RNAcentral's name for it is "lncRNA gene15385". Lineage: Eukaryota; Viridiplantae; Streptophyta; Magnoliopsida; Fabales; Fabaceae. The record is from RNAcentral.